UGGGGAAUUUUGGACAAUGGGCGCAAGCCUGAUCCAGCCAUGCCGCGUGAGUGAUGAAGGCCCUAGGGUUGUAAAGCUCUUUCACCGGUGAAGAUAAUGACGGUAACCGGAGAAGAAGCCCCGGCUAACUUCGUGCCAGCAGCCGCGGUAAUACGAAGGGGGCUAGCGUUGUUCGGAUUUACUGGGCGUAAAGCGCACGUAGGCGGACUUUUAAGUCAGGGGUGAAAUCCCGGGGCUCAACCCCGGAACUGCCUUUGAUACUGGAAGUCUUGAGUAUGGUAGAGGUGAGUGGAAUUCCGAGUGUAGAGGUGAAAUUCGUAGAUAUUCGGAGGAACACCAGUGGCGAAGGCGGCUCACUGGACCAUUACUGACGCUGAGGUGCGAAAGCGUGGGGAGCAAACAGG
This 404-nucleotide ribosomal RNA is filed under the name Pseudomonas sp. Its description in RNAcentral is "partial 16S ribosomal RNA". It matches the Rfam family "Bacterial small subunit ribosomal RNA", at positions 355 to 776 of the family's 1533-position model. The record is from RNAcentral. Lineage: Bacteria; Pseudomonadati; Pseudomonadota; Gammaproteobacteria; Pseudomonadales; Pseudomonadaceae. RNAcentral also lists the same sequence under 1 other name.